UACGUAGGGUGCGAGCGUUAAUCGGAAUUACUGGGCGUAAAGCGUGCGCAGGCGGCUUUGCAAGACAGAUGUGAAAUCCCCGGGCUCAACCUGGGAACUGCAUUUGUGACUGCAAGGCUAGAGUACGGCAGAGGGGGAUGGAAUUCCGCGUGUAGCAGUGAAAUGCGUAGAUAUGCGGAGGAACACCAAUGGCGAAGGCAAUCCCCUGGGCCUGUACUGACGCUCAUGCACGAAAGCGCGGGGAGCAAACAGG
RNAcentral lists this ribosomal RNA (253 nucleotides) under uncultured bacterium. Its description in RNAcentral is "partial 16S ribosomal RNA". It matches the Rfam family "Bacterial small subunit ribosomal RNA", at positions 524 to 776 of the family's 1533-position model. The record is from RNAcentral.